GCCUAACACAUGCAAGUCGAACGAAGGCUUCGGCCUUAGUGGCGCACGGGUGCGUAACGCGUGGGAAUCUGCCCUCAGGUUCGGAAUAACAGCGAGAAAUUGCUGCUAAUACCGGAUGAUAUCGCGAGAUCAAAGAUUUAUCGCCUGAGGAUGAGCCCGCGUAGGAUUAGCUAGUUGGUGUGGUAAAGGCGCACCAAGGCGACGAUCCUUAGCUGGUCUGAGAGGAUGAUCAGCCACACUGGGACUGAGACACGGCCCAGACUCCUACGGGAGGCAGCAGUGGGGAAUAUUGGACAAUGGGCGAAAGCCUGAUCCAGCAAUGCCGCGUGAGUGAUGAAGGCCUUAGGGUUGUAAAGCUCUUUUACCCGGGAUGAUAAUGACAGUACCGGGAGAAUAAGCUCCGGCUAACUCCGUGCCAGCAGCCGCGGUAAUACGGAGGGAGCUAGCGUUAUUCGGAAUUACUGGGCGUAAAGCGCACGUAGGCGGCUUUGUAAGUUAGAGGUGAAAGCCUGGAGCUCAACUCC
This 524-nucleotide ribosomal RNA is filed under the name uncultured Sphingomonas sp. RNAcentral's name for it is "bacterial SSU rRNA". It matches the Rfam family "Bacterial small subunit ribosomal RNA", at positions 46 to 616 of the family's 1533-position model. The record is from RNAcentral. Lineage: Bacteria; Pseudomonadati; Pseudomonadota; Alphaproteobacteria; Sphingomonadales; Sphingomonadaceae.